UACGGAGGAUCCAAGCGUUAUCCGGAAUUACUGGGCGUAAAGAGUUGCGUAGGUGGCAUAGUAAGUCCCGAUUUAAAGACGACGGCUCAACCGUCGGAUCUAUCGGGAAACUGCUAGGCUAGAGGACGAGAGAGGUAGAUGGAAUUCCUGAUGUAGGGGUAAUAUCCGUAGAUAUCAGGAGGAACACCGAUGGCGUAGGCAGUCUACUGGCUCGUUCCUGACACUAAGGCACGAAAGCAUGGGGAGCAAACAGG
RNAcentral lists this ribosomal RNA (254 nucleotides) under uncultured bacterium. RNAcentral describes it as "partial 16S ribosomal RNA". It matches the Rfam family "Bacterial small subunit ribosomal RNA", at positions 524 to 776 of the family's 1533-position model. The record is from RNAcentral.